AUGAAAUGUCAAAGACCUACUUUUGGUAUGGAGAGUAUAAAGAUGGACCUACCUACCAUGCACACAAGAAAGGAGCAGCAAGGGUAAGUUAGUAUUUAAGUUAUCUUACCAUCAAUUGUAGCCAGACAUUUAUGUCCGUAUUCCUCCAUGGAAUAUUUUGUAUAGUUUGCAUCUCCAAUUUCACUUCAUUUUUGCAUAUGCUGGGACGAUGUAGCUAAUGCUAGUAAAUAACAUCGCUUAUGCGAUUCACUAUUAUGAAGCUAAAACGCGGGAGGAAAUUGCGUUUGUACCAACUCAUUAAAAUCCUUAGUCCUAAACCGCUUCUUAUCUUUAUAUGGACUCUGUUUAUCAACCUAAUGUUGGAUUCCUUUCAUUGAUAUUCCCUUACAUAAGUUUCGAUUUUUUUAGUGAGUAGUGACUCAUA
This 424-nucleotide unclassified non-coding RNA is filed under the name Hevea brasiliensis (rubber tree). The record is from RNAcentral. Lineage: Eukaryota; Viridiplantae; Streptophyta; Magnoliopsida; Malpighiales; Euphorbiaceae.